GGGGGAAUAUGAUAAUGGUAAUCAGUUGUACUUGCACUACAAAAAUGAAAGUUCAACUCUUUCUUUCUCCA
RNAcentral lists this transfer RNA (71 nucleotides) under Ramaria rubella. RNAcentral's name for it is "tRNA-Ala". It matches the Rfam family "tRNA". Rfam says of the family: Transfer RNA (tRNA) molecules are approximately 80 nucleotides in length. Their secondary structure includes four short double-helical elements and three loops (D, anti-codon, and T loops). The record is from RNAcentral. RNAcentral also lists the same sequence under 1 other name. Lineage: Eukaryota; Fungi; Basidiomycota; Agaricomycetes; Gomphales; Gomphaceae.